UCAAUGGUGCCGACCCUCUAUUUCUAUGGUGUGAGUGAACGAGUAUUCUGCAAUCGCUCUGUGAUUUGUAAAGAUGUCUCAAUCAUGUCAACCUUCAUCACAAGAGUCAGAUAUUUUAUCUCAGGGGACCUUUCAAGAGAUAUGGGCUUCCUUGCAAAGGACAUUCAGUGAUCCCACCUGAAGUUACUUCCAUCCUGUGUAUGGGUCAAUAAUGCUGACUUGGGGAUAUUUUAGUUAGUAUUUCCUUGAGUUGUUGCUCGUCUGUGAUCAAAGAAAAUGAGGACACUUUGCAGGGAUGGCAUUUAUUCUUUAAUCAUUUUUUCUUUAAUCUUCUUUAAUGAUUAAAGAAGAUUUGAAUCAAAACUUAAAAUUGUCUUUAAUGUUCCUUAUUUAUGCUCUUACGUCUGAAAUAGUGUUUAUCCAAUGUCACAUUAAAAUAUUAAAUAACAGCAUAUUUUCUCCAUGGUUCA
Molecule: long non-coding RNA, 470 nt
Organism: Xenia sp. Carnegie-2017
Lineage: Eukaryota; Metazoa; Cnidaria; Anthozoa; Malacalcyonacea; Xeniidae
Exons: 3
Source: RefSeq, a predicted model, not a curated record